GGUCCGGGAGUGGGGGGUUUUACCCCGCCUGCCUGUCACGCAGGAGAUCGCGGGUUCGAUUCCCGUCGGGACCGCCA
This 77-nucleotide transfer RNA is filed under the name Staphylococcus pseudintermedius. RNAcentral's name for it is "tRNA-Asp". It matches the Rfam family "tRNA". Rfam says of the family: Transfer RNA (tRNA) molecules are approximately 80 nucleotides in length. Their secondary structure includes four short double-helical elements and three loops (D, anti-codon, and T loops). Further hydrogen bonds mediate the characteristic L-shaped molecular structure. tRNAs have two regions of fundamental functional importance: the anti-codon, which is responsible for specific mRNA codon recognition, and the 3' end, to which the tRNAs corresponding amino acid is attached (by aminoacyl-tRNA synthetases). tRNAs cope with the degeneracy of the genetic code in two manners: having more than one tRNA (with a specific anti-codon) for a particular amino acid; and 'wobble' base-pairing, i.e. permitting non-standard base-pairing at the 3rd anti-codon position. Lineage: Bacteria; Bacillati; Bacillota; Bacilli; Caryophanales; Staphylococcaceae. The record is from RNAcentral.